RNAcentral lists this ribosomal RNA (377 nucleotides) under uncultured bacterium. Its description in RNAcentral is "bacterial SSU rRNA". It matches the Rfam family "Bacterial small subunit ribosomal RNA", at positions 523 to 898 of the family's 1533-position model. The record is from RNAcentral.
AUGCGUAGGUGGCAAGCGUUGUCCGGAAUUAUUGGGCGUAAAGCGCGCGCAGGCGGUUCCUUAAGUCUGAUGUGAAAGCCCCCGGCUCAACCGGGGAGGGUCAUUGGAAACUGGGGAACUUGAGUGCAGAAGAGGAGAGCGGAAUUCCACGUGUAGCGGUGAAAUGCGUAGAGAUGUGGAGGAACACCAGUGGCGAAGGCGGCUCUCUGGUCUGUAACUGACGCUGAGGCGCGAAAGCGUGGGGAGCGAACAGGAUUGGAUACCCUGGUAGUCCACGCCGUAAACGAUGAGUGCUAAGUGUUAGAGGGUUUCCGCCCUUUAGUGCUGCAGCAAACGCAUUAAGCACUCCGCCUGGGGAGUACGGCCGCAAGGCUGAA